GAUUACGAUAUUACCUUACAACGUCAGGUAUGUUGUCUUAAGCUUCAUUUGCACGGUACUUUAGCAAAUGUAAUAAAAAAAUUAUUUCUCAACUUAUAACCAUCCUGCACAAGCAAUAUAUAUUAUAUGUCAAACAUAAAGCUUUGGAAGGAUAAAGCACAUCAAAUUUAGAUACAUUAUUAAAACUAAGCAUGUUAGGAAGGCUCUCAGGCCAUCAGCAAUUUUGGUCGUUAGAUCACACGUCUGAAUCAUUUUUGGCCGUCUGAUGGACCUCUUCCUCCCACGUGGGCCGCUACUCCAGAAACAAAUUUCGAGGCCUCUCGUUUGAUCCCAAAUGGACGAUCGUGAUGUUGACGCCGCACAGGCUCCUCCCCGAUCUCUUGACCUAGGAUGAAACCUAUGCGCCGCCACUAUUGCCGUCGCCGCUGCCGAGAGAGAGAGAGAGAGAGAGAGAGAGAGACGAGGGUGACUGAUGGCAACGGCGGCGAUGGGCAAACGAGGUCGCGCCAGGCCGGCGAUUUCAUCCGUAAGUGCACCUGCGCUGCCGACGAUGACGGCUCAACCAAGGUCCUCUUGAUGGAUCCCCGCGCCAGGGUCUUCGUCGCGCUGAUGGCGGUAGGGCAGCCGUCAGCCGCCAUGGUAUGGAAGUAUCUCUUCGUUUUGCUGGGCAACCUCAACCUGGUUGCCUCCUUCUCCUUCUUUCUUUUUCAUCGGACUAAUUUCUAUGUUUCUUGGUGGGACGACGAGGUUGCCAAAUCCGUAGCACUCACCACAUCACGGCGGCGGCUACCUGCAUCACCUCGCCGUUCAUUGUUAUGGAAGCGUGAUGCGAUGAGCUUUUCCUAGCGGCUUACAGGUGAAGCCAGGGGAGGAAGGGAGGAAUGCAUUGUCAUAUGCUCGAUCUUGACAUCUUGUAUUGACAGUUUGACACAGUGCUGGGCGACAGUCGGAAGCCUACUUGAAUCCAAAACUUUUGAGGAGCCGAGGAGUACAUCAUGGACUCACUACAGCAGAUGCCAUUAACCUCCGUAGUCCAUAGGUGUAACUGAUGUUCAUAUCAAUCUACCAUACAAAUCAUGUUACAGGUAAAAAUGUGUUGGCUCAAGAGCCAUUAGAGUUAUUCACUUCUUAGUAUUUGGACAAUUGAAUUAAGGAAUAUAUGAGACGUUUGAAUUAAGAAAUGGAGGAUCUGAUUACCUUGCAAAAGGCACUCUCAAGAUUAGUUUCACUAACCGUCUUUUUGUUGAGAGUGAAGGUAUACUAUCCAAAGAUGCUUUUCUUUAGAAAAGGAGGACCCCCGGCCUCUGCAUCUGGGCGAUGCAUACGGCCACUUUAUUAAUUAUUCUCAGAAGACCUUACAAAGUAAUACAACAGUAAGACUAAAGCCACCGUCUGAGCAACAACUGUCGCUACUCCUAUCCAAAUGACGAAGGAGCGCUGAUAGUCUGGGCCUAAUACCAAACAGACAUCGCAGCUAAACCUAAACAUCUAAGACCUGAGGUCCCAACCAGGACGCCUGCCGGGUAUGGGGCACCUACCAGUCCGGCGCACUCCUCAACCAGGACGCAUGUCGGGUAUGAGGCCGCCGCAGCCACCUGCCACCAAUCCAUCUUCAGUGUUGUACUGCUGCACCACCUUGCCCGGCCUCUCUGCUAUAGACGCCACCACGACGCCUGAUAACGUCACCCUCCUGCGCGAGUCCCUCGCCACACAUCGGGCGCCGAGUCUCCACUGCGCCACGUCGCCGAGAAACCGCUCCACCAAUUAUUCCGUCCACUAGUCCCUCGAGCCCGUGUACACCUGCAAGAAUGACGCCACAAGAGGGAAACGACACAAUAAUGCCGCAGCCAUCCGAUCUACUAAUCUAGGGUUUCCCCCGAAGGUAGCAUAUAGUGGCCUGGAACUUCUCAACAGCGAUGCCUUCAAUAAGGGAACGACACCGAAUAGUGCCGCCAUCGCCGCCCUCGGCAGCAGCCACGAGCAGGUCUUCACCCAGAUCUGUUCCAAUGGCCUCCAUCAAGCGUCUUGUGCACGGAUCGUCCACCACCGCGGCCGCCGCGUCGCCUGUCACGAGUCCAUAGCCGCCGACACAUCCUCCGCCGUCCGGGGCCGCCGCCCCGGGAUCCAGCCCUCGCUGGCCGCCGGAACGAAGCCACCGAGCCCCAUCGAGGGCGGCCAACGGGGGCGGAGAAGCUAGAUCCGGCCAAGCCCGGCCAGGAUCCGGCCUCUCCCCGCGCUGAAGCCACUCCCGCGGCCCUGCAUCUCGCCCGCGCCCGAGGCGACGCAGGUAGUGCAUGCGCGCGCAACACCGCAGAGAGGGGAAACGCCCUGCCGCCACCUUCCUUGGGGCGCACACGGACUUCGCCUGCGGCCCCUCCUGCGGCGGCGAAGCGAGGGAGGGGGCGAGGGGGAUUUGGCGGCGGCGGCGCUAGGGUUGCCCCGUGUCGCCCGGGGGCGAUCCAAAGAUGCUUUAAAGCUUAGUUCAUUAAACAUCUUUUUAUUCGGAAUGAAGGUUUACUACAGUUAUAAUAACUCGCUCCUUGGUUAUGCAUUCCAAUUUAAUAUAGUAUAGUUCAGCUGAAAAAUGUUAAUGCAAAGUAACCUGCAUGCUAAAAAUAUCUUGGUCUUCCUUGAAUAUUACCUUGGGGUGCCUUGGGUAUCCCCAAGCUUAGGGUUUUGUCACUCCUUAUUCUCCUCAUAUCGAUAUGUUCUAUGAAUCCUACUUCUGCCAUUGCCGAUUCAUGCAACCCCGGACUCCUUCACUACGAGUGACCAACACUAUGGUAAAUAACAUAAGUUGACAAGCUCCAAGUAGACAAUCCUGAUUAUAUAGUUACCAUGGGGAGAACUCUCCUUCCAAUUUAGAAAAAAAAAACAUUGUGCAUUCUGCUUUUUUAUGAAACAUGAGUAGUUGCUACUUGCUCGUGUAAAAUAGACAUUUAAUUUGUAGUAUGAUUCACUCUACAAAAAACAUUUUAGCAUGCAUGUUACUUUGCUAAGAAAAUUAGCCCAUCAUUUUAAAUCAAAUUCCUAGAGCAAAAGAUUGAGCCUUUGGUGACUAUUAGUUUGAAUUUGAGAAUGUAUAUACAUCUAGAUGGAUGCAAGUUUUUUGAAUCAUGUAACACUCUGUUCAACUAUCUCUUCUAACUAUGAUAUAGUUUUUUUAAUCUCCAUUGACAUACUCUAUCGACGAGUUUUCAGUGCGAUGUUACUUUUGUGCCAUGGAUAAAAAAUAACUUUGAUUGUAAUGCCCACUUCUUUGUGCUCCCCGGCUUGGUAGUUUUGUUUCAGUACAGCACUGAUAAUUAUUAUAGAAAUUAUUUUUACUGAUUAGAUGAUAGGACAUGUACAGUGUGAGGCCUGAAUCUGUUUGGUGAUGGGAGAUGCUCCAUGAAGUUUUGCCUUUGGUAUUUGCACCUUCUACUAUGUAACAUUCUUCAAUAGAUAUUGGUUUACAUUCAUUUUCUUCUGAGCGAGUUUAAUUCUCUUUUGCAUACCCUUGUAUCAUCUGCUAUCCAUUUAUUGCAAAUUUCAUGAAUUAAGUCUGCUCAUAUUAGCAGACUAAAGUUGUUGUUUUGUGUUAUUAAUGACAAUGAUAUGCCUGGAACUUACAAUAGAAGGGGUGGGCUUUCCAGAUGAGAAAACAUUAUAUAACACUUUUACCUUA
Molecule: long non-coding RNA, 3667 nt
Organism: Triticum aestivum (bread wheat)
Lineage: Eukaryota; Viridiplantae; Streptophyta; Magnoliopsida; Poales; Poaceae
Exons: 2
Source: RefSeq, a predicted model, not a curated record